AUCUGCGAUGCUAUGGCUUUGAUGUUCCCCAUAGAAGGUGAGAUAUUUGAUUUCAUCUAACUUUGCAUUAAAUUAUUUUUCAUCUGCAUGUCUCUUCCUCAUUUCCGUUGUAUCGCUGAACAAAAGCUGCUUUAAAGAUUUAUUUAGACAGCUGCCUCUUUGCCAGGAACGUGCUCACGUAGGGAGAUCUAUGCACGUGUUAAUGCACACAGGCAUUUAUGAGAGAGUUACUAGAACUAAUUGUAUCAGCAAUUUAUCUGUUACCUUUGACCUAAAUAGAGCCUGCACCUCUUCCCAGACAGAUAAUUAGCUCUGCCGCUUCAUGUCAAGAUUAUCUAUUUAUCAGCAAAAAACAAUUUCGUGUAAUGCUGCUUUUGCUCAUGGAUUUCCUUUUACGCACAGUAACAUCUCUUCCAAGGGAAAGGCAAUGUGCGCUUCAAACAAUAGCAGUCAGCCCCUGGUGGCUUAUAAUGUUCUUCUGACAUGAAAGAGUGGCCAUGGCUAAAAACACAGUGACCCAUAGGACUGUUUGUUGUCCAUAGAGAUGAGUACGUUUUCAUUUACAGUCUGCUAACUACAACAAGGGGUAUCUUUUGUAAGAGGAAGAUGUUGCAAGUGUUACUAUGGUAUGUGGGUAUGUAAGUUCCUCUUAUAAGUAGAGGAUUAAAUAGCUCAUAUGAGUUUGAGAUCUCACUUCAUGAGAAGACUGACAAUUACGGAUGAAAUUAAUUGAGGAAAUGACUACUGGAAGAGUCCAUGGUUCCAAUUUGUUGUUGAUUGGUUGCAUUCUCAAAAGCACAUAUAUGUUAGACAUGCAAUGCCCAAUUCAACUGUGUUGGGAAGUAUAGCUAAAUGGUAGCUAUUUCUAUUGAAGUCUAUUGAAAGGGUCUUUGAUGAUUAUAAGAGGGCUGCAGGUUUGUAGUUUAGCAUCAUGUGCUCUUUUUUUGCAUGAGGACUUUAGACCAUGUUACAAUGAAGAAAGACCUCAUGAUAUGCCACCCUUUGAUCUUGGGUUUCCCAGACUUUACAAGAGUAAAUCAAUUGGUAUGAGCUUUAGACUUAAAGGGAGAGUGAGUCUCAAGAGACAGAGAGAGAGAGAGAGAGAGAGAGAGAGAGAGAGAGAGAGAGAGAGAGAGAGGAGAAAAAUCAGAUGCAGAGUGAUAGAGGAAAACACAUGAUGUUGACAUCUAUCAUCUAUACUUCACAGAUCCAAGCGUGGGUGAGUCUGCGUACAUAUAUUAUUACACACAAAUAAGUAAGAUGAGAAGCAUCCUCUUAGUCAAUAAGAUUGCUGACCUUGAUCGUCAGGAACAGACAGAAUUGCUUUUCCAACCAAACAGAAAAAUAUAUAUGGAACAUGAGAAAUAAA
Non-coding RNA from Rattus norvegicus (Norway rat), 1369 nucleotides. The record is from RefSeq and is a predicted model, not a curated record. Lineage: Eukaryota; Metazoa; Chordata; Mammalia; Rodentia; Muridae.